UGCGCAGGCGGUGCUGUAAGACAGGCGUGAAAUCCCCGGGCUCAACCUGGGAAUUGCGUUUGAAACUACAAGGCUAGAGUGUGGCAGAGGGAGGUGGAAUUCCAUGUGUAGCAGUGAAAUGCGUAGAGAUAUGGAAGAACAUCGAUGGCGAAGGCAGCCUCCUGGGUUAACACUGACGCUCAUGCACGAAAGCGUGGGGAGCAAACA
Molecule: ribosomal RNA, 207 nt
Filed under: uncultured bacterium
Lineage: Bacteria
Description: partial 16S ribosomal RNA
Rfam family: Bacterial small subunit ribosomal RNA
Source: RNAcentral